UCUGAUAUUGAAUAGUACUGUUAGCCUCACCUGUUGCAAUAAUGGCAACGUUGUUACCUCUUCUAAAGAAUCCUGUGUUUAUCCAAAGGUCUGGGACCAUUGUACAGGAUCAUUAAUAUACAGUUCAUCUGUGUUAUCAGCAUAUCCUCUUCUCAGCUUAUUCAUUGAUGCAGAAAGCAGGCAGCUGGUCACUGGAUGUGCUGACGGCCAGCUUUGGAUCUUCAGUUUGAUGGAUGGACACCAUUAUCGUCGUGUGGCACGGGUUGACCUAAGGAAGAAGACAGAGACGUUCUCCACAAGAAGGGUUAAGUCUGGGCUGUGCAGCCAGCCAGAUGCCACCUGCACCCGCCCAGCACCCUCGUCCUCACCUGGUCUCUGGCUGUCCAGAGUUAUUUCCUGUUGACCACAGCUCUCCUCAUAAGAAAGCCAUCUUCCCUCUACAAGUGCUCUGGGAAAAGGAGAGCAGGUUGAAGUAACAUUUCCUGUACUGAGACUUGCACCCUGUGAUCUGUCACUCAUCCCAAAUUCUGCAUGUGGAUGUCUUUCUUCUGAGAACACCCAAUGUGUAUGGAUCGGAAGCUCAGUGGGCUUAUUCGUAUUUAACCUGGCAAACCUGGAAGUGGAAGCUGCUUUGUAUUACAAAGAUUUCCAGAGCCUCAGCAUCCUGCUGGCCGGAUCGUGUGCCCUGAGGAACCGCACUGCGGAUCGAAAGGUGCUGUGCUUGCUGGCCUCCCUCUUUGGCGGGAAGAUUGCCGUGUUGGAGAUCAACCCGGCCGCGCUGGUCAGGGCUCAGCAGUGCCACAGCGUGGGGCAGAGCCUCUCGGUGCCAGCCAGCUUCUGUGUCCUACCGACCUCUCCACUGUAUCUGGGAAUUGCCAAGGAGAAGAGUACCAAGGCUGCUAGUCAACAGCGAUGUGCUGCACGGAACGUCAUGAAGGACCAACGCCUGGUUUUCCAUAGUAAAGUUAGGUCGUCUGGUUAUGCGUCAGCACCACAUGUGACUAUGUUUUCACCAAAGACCAACAUUAAAAGUGAGGGGAAAGGAUCUUCAAGACGCAGGAGCCGCUGCGCAUGGGAGGCAUACCCCGUGGAGUGCGCUGUGCCCACCAAGCCCGGCCCCCAGGUCACCGCCGCCCCCACCUGCGCACGCGUGUGCUGCAUCCAGUACUCAGGAGAUGGGCAGUGGCUGGCUUGUGGGUUGGCCAACCAUCUGUCACUCGUUUUUGAUGCCAGCCUGACUGGGACACCUGCUGUGUUUUCAGGUCACGACGGGGCAGUGAACGCUGUGUGCUGGAGCCAGGACCGGAGGUGGCUGCUUUCUGCGGCCUGGGACGGGACCCUGCGGGUGUGGUCGGCUCGUGGGGCAGAGCUCGCACUGCUUCUGAUAUAAACAGAAGAGCAAGUCCAAGCUGAUUUGCAGGCUCUCCAUGACGGGUGCAGUAGACAUGACCAGUUUAUCGGCAGUCAACGACUUUUAUUCCCACAUCGUACUCACAGCUGGCCGGAACAGGACCGUGGAAGUGUUCGACCUCAACGCUGGCUGCAGUGCAGCAGUGAUAGCGGAAGCCCACUCGCGGCCUGUCCAUCAAAUCUGCCAAAAUAAAGGUUCAUCAUUUACAACCCAACAGCCUCAGGCUUAUAACCUUUUCCUGACCACGGCCAUUGGCGAUGGGAUGAGACUGUGGGACCUGAGAACCCUGAGGUGUGAGCGCCACUUUGAAGGGCAUCCAACCCGUGGCUAUCCAUGUGGAAUCGCUUUCAGUCCUUGUGGACGAUUCGCGGCUUGUGGGGCUGAGGACAGACACGCUUACGUGUAUGAAAUGGGUUCAAGCACGUACUCUCACCGGCUGGCUGGGCACACAGACACCGUCACUGGAGUGGCCUUCAACCCAUCGGCGCCCCAGAUAAGGAAACUGAGGCACAAAGAAGUUAAAAUGCCUGAACAAAAGCACACAGUGGGUAAGUGGACACGCAAGGCUUCACCCUCACCCCUCAUUGAUCUGACUUCAGAUUCCAUCUUCUUAGCAUGGUGCCCACCUACACACCACAGAGCUGUAUAAGGGCAGAAGAGAGAAGUGCGUUCUGCUACCACCAGCAAGCACUGGGAAGCAUCUUGAAGAAAAGUGGGAUGAGCUGUGCGGAGCCUUUCGGGGCAGAUUCAAGAGGAGAAAGCCGUGUCUUUCUUACUAUGGACACUCGGGAACUGGAGAAAGGUUUCCUUCUCAAAUUUAUUGACUAGAACUCAGUUCCCAAUCAACAUUUCAAAAAAGUUUCUUAUUUCUGUGAGAGGCAAUAUAUAUUAUAUUUCUAUUAAUGUGGCAUUAAUGCUUGUUUUUUCUUUUUUAGUCCCUGAGUGGUUUCAAAUGUGUGUUUUCAUGUACAAUUUAUAGUUCUGAAGAGUGUGUCAUUUCCAGAUAUUUCCUGACUGUCUCAUCAAUGCCCACAUCAUAAAAGUUAAUUUCAUGCCUAAGGAAUCUACACUACCUUCCUUUUGGAAAAUGUUCUGCAGAUUCUAGCAAAGUCAACAGCCAAACCAUGAAUGUAAAGGCUGCCGUACAGACUACAGAAGUAGGCAGCUUGCCAUCGCCACGCUACCUACUUUACAUUCAAGUGAUUUAUAUAAGAGCCAAAAAAAUGUACUCCACAUAGUAUUGAUCUUUCACUGUCAUGCAGAGAUAGCUGUCCAGAUGAUAGAUUAAGACAAUGAGAAAAUAAGGGAUUGGCUUCAAGAUUUGUGGUUGCCGACGGAAUUUCUUCAACAGAAAGAGAAGGAAACUGAACUACAGAACUGGUAGGAUAUUAUUAUUUUUACUGUAAAUGAUCCAAGCCUGUCAGGCCUGUAACUUCCAAGUGCAAUGUAUUAUGAUCUGUGGUGUAAAACAAAAGAUUCUGAACUUGAGUCAGUAAUAGCUGGUUUAUUCCAGGAUUCAAAUGUGAGUAACUUACCUCUCACCAACAGUAGUCAAAAUGAGAAGCCCGCUAUGCUGCGGCUUUAUGGCUCAUGGACUCUGGAUGAGUUCUGCAUUUAUCUUCGUGGAGUGAUGAAUAAUUGAAUUGGAAAAUCAUGGCAUCCAGAAUGGAACUGCAUAAAAAUCUGCUGGAGUGUUUCCGAAAAAAUGAAGACCUCUGGGCCCUUAUCCCAGACUUUCUAUUUCAGUGGUCCAUGGAAGAGCCUGCAAGCUUGGCUUUUCCAUCUCAGGACUUAGCUGCAGGGUCUCAGGGCACACUGCAGAGACUCGUCGUCCUUUUGCCUGGAGGUGCGCACUGACUAUUUGCAGAUGAGUCGCCAUCCUGAUGACUGCCCAGCCCUUGGCUGCCUGUGCUCCAGGUCUCCACUCAUUUGACAAGCAAGACCCACAUCCGGCAGCAAGGACUCCACCGGGAUGGGAGCCUGGUGCUUAUUCUCGAACUCAGCAAUCCAGCAGUGCACCUGGCUCUGUUUCCAGCCUGGCCAAUGAUUGUCUAAGCAUCAAUUAUUACAUAUUACUAAUUAUUAAAUAUUAAAUGUAAUAUCUU
Molecule: small RNA, 3516 nt
Filed under: Pongo abelii (Sumatran orangutan)
Lineage: Eukaryota; Metazoa; Chordata; Mammalia; Primates; Hominidae
Description: processed transcript
Source: RNAcentral